This 253-nucleotide ribosomal RNA is filed under the name uncultured bacterium. RNAcentral describes it as "partial 16S ribosomal RNA". It matches the Rfam family "Bacterial small subunit ribosomal RNA", at positions 524 to 776 of the family's 1533-position model. The record is from RNAcentral.
UACGUAGGGUGCAAGCGUUAAUCGGAAUUACUGGGCGUAAAGCGUGCGCAGGCGGUUUUGUAAGUCUGAUGUGAAAUCCCCGGGCUCAACCUGGGAAUUGCAUUGGAGGCUGCAAGGCUAGAAUCUGGCAGAGGGGGGUAGAAUUCCACGUGUAGCAGUGAAAUGCGUAGAGAUGUGGAGGAACACCGAUGGCGAAGGCAGCCCCCUGGGUCAAGAUUGACGCUCAUGCACGAAAGCGUGGGGAACAAACAGG